UUUGAAGCGUCUAUGAUAAACAGAGAGCAAAUUAGAAUCCAAGGAAGUUGACAUGUCAUCACUUCAUUUUUUUGCGCCUGCGCAUAAAUCUGAGAAGCGUGAGUUUGUCAUCAUUGUUUAUCUAGACAUAGGAUAGGUUGUGUGAAAAUAUUACUGAUGUUUAACGUUAAAAAUGGACCAAAAGAUUAAUGCUAAACAACAUUUGACAUGUUUGAACGAAAAUAAAUAGAUUAUUUACUAGGUUUUUUUAGCUUUUCGGCGUGAUUUUACACUCCCCCCACCACGUUUUGAGGGAGCAUAAUGAACGCUAAGUACUUGGUGUUAUUUGGACAUAAAUUAUGAACUUUGUCAAAAGAAACCACAUUUGUUCCGGACCUGGGAUGCCUUCCGGACCUGGGAUGCCUGCCUUCUGAUGGAGAUAAUCAAAGCCCUGGGACCAUGCCUCAGGACUACUUGGCCUGAUGACUCCUUGCUGUCUCCAGUCCACCUGGUCGUGCUGCUACUCCAGUUUCAACUGUUCUGCCUGUGGCUAUAGAACCCUGCCCUGUUCACCGGACGUGCUACCUUGUCCCGGACGUGCUGUUUUGGACUCUCUCUACCGCACCUGCUGUCUCUAACUCUGAUCGGCUAUGAAAAGCCAACUGACAUUUACUCCUGAGGUGCCGACCUGUUGCAUCCUCUACAACCACUGUGAUUUUAUUAUCUGACCCUGCUGGUCAUCUAUGAAUGUUUGAACAUCUUGGCCAUGUACUGUUAUAAUCUCCACCCGGCACAGCCAGAAGAGGACUGGCCACCCCUCAGAGCCUGGUUCCUCUCUAGGUUUCUUCCUAUGUAUAUGUAUUAAUUAUAGAUGUGUCAGUUAUUAAUGAUAAACCUUAAACUGCACUCCUCCUCCCCUCCCUCCCUAUCUCUCCUCAUCUCUCUCUAUUUUUUAGCUCCAGAUGACACAACCUGCACACAAUUCAAGGGUUGCAGGUCUGCCGACUUCCUUCUGGUCACAUUGUAUUCGGAGAAAUAUCCAAUAAAC
Molecule: long non-coding RNA, 1027 nt
Filed under: Salmo salar (Atlantic salmon)
Lineage: Eukaryota; Metazoa; Chordata; Actinopteri; Salmoniformes; Salmonidae
Description: lncRNA (ENSSSAG00000117350.1)
Source: RNAcentral